This 71-nucleotide transfer RNA is filed under the name Hucho taimen (taimen). RNAcentral's name for it is "tRNA-Pro". Lineage: Eukaryota; Metazoa; Chordata; Actinopteri; Salmoniformes; Salmonidae. The record is from RNAcentral.
AGAGAAAGGAGAUUUUAACUCCCACCCUUAACUCCCAAAGCUAAGAUUCUAAAUUAAACUACCCUCUGACC